CGGUCCAGACUCCUACGGGAGGCAGCAGUGGGGAAUAUUGCACAAUGGGCGAAAGCCUGAUGCAGCGACGCCGCGUGAGGGAUGACGGCCUUCGGGUCGUAAAACUCUGUUAUAAGAGAAGAACAAAUUGUAGAGUGACUGCUACAGUCUUGACGGUAUCUUAUCAGAAAGCCACGGCUAACUACGUGCCAGCAGCCGCGGUAA
Molecule: ribosomal RNA, 204 nt
Filed under: Aerococcus viridans
Lineage: Bacteria; Bacillati; Bacillota; Bacilli; Lactobacillales; Aerococcaceae
Description: partial 16S ribosomal RNA
Rfam family: Bacterial small subunit ribosomal RNA
Source: RNAcentral